GCUUGUCUCAAAGAUUAAGCCAUGCAUGUCUAAGUAUAACUCUUUUACUUUGAAAACUGCGAACGGCUCAUUAUAUCAGUUAUAGUUUCUUUGAUAGUCCCUUACUACUUGGAUACCCGUAGUAAUUCUAGAGCUAAUACAUGCAUCAAUCCCCGACUUCUGGAAGGGGUGUAUUUAUUAGAUGGAAACCAAUGCGGGGCAACCCGGAAUCUGGUGAAUCAUAAUAACUUUCGGAUCGAUCUUCGGAUCGAUGCAUCAUUCAAGUUUCUGCCCUAUCAGCUUUGGAUGGUAGGGUAUUGGCCUACCAUGGCUUUAACGGGUAACGGAGAAUUAGGGUUCGAUUCCGGAGAGGGAGCCUGAGAAACGGCUACCACAUCCAAGGAAGGCA
This 388-nucleotide ribosomal RNA is filed under the name Mallomonas akrokomos. RNAcentral describes it as "partial small subunit ribosomal RNA". It matches the Rfam family "Eukaryotic small subunit ribosomal RNA", at positions 30 to 427 of the family's 1831-position model. Lineage: Eukaryota; Synurophyceae; Synurales; Mallomonadaceae. The record is from RNAcentral.